This 438-nucleotide unclassified non-coding RNA is filed under the name Hevea brasiliensis (rubber tree). The record is from RNAcentral. Lineage: Eukaryota; Viridiplantae; Streptophyta; Magnoliopsida; Malpighiales; Euphorbiaceae.
ACUCCUGCAGCCGGACCUCAAACCGUCGCCGCAUGGUGGAAAACCAUCGAUCACAAAUACUACCGCCACCACUCCAAAUCCUCCUUCCCCACCCUCCUUCUCGGCCAACAAUUCAUCGUCGACUCCUAUCCACUCGGCAAACCCCUCACCGAUGCUGACCUCACUCACUUAGCCUCCAAAGGCGCCAAGAAGAACGCCAUCAAUGUCGUCCUUACUGCGGACGACGUCGCAGUUGAAGGCUUCUGCAUGAGCAGGUGUGGCACUCACGGCGCCUCCCCACCAUCAAAGGCUGGCCGGUAUGCCUACAUUUGGGUCGGCAACUCGGCCACCCAGUGCCCGGGGCAGUGCGCUUGGCCAUUCCACCAACCCAUUUACGGCCCGCAGGGACCGGCGCUGGUGGCGCCCAACGGCGAUGCUGGGGUGGACGGCAUGGUGAUC